GAAUUCGGCAAAAAUUUAUAUUCACUUGUUUAUCAAAAACAUGUCUUUUUGUUAAUAAUUUAAAGUCUAAUCUGCCCACUGAUGUAAUAUUGAAGGGCUGCAGUAUUUUGACUGUACAAAGGUAGCAUAAUCAUUAGUCUCUUAAUUGGUGACUUGUAUGAAGGAUUGGAUGAGAUAUAAGCUGUCUUGAUAAUAUUUAAUUGAAUUUAAUUUUUUAUUUAAAAAGUUAAAAUAAUUUAAAAAGACGAGAAGACCCUAUAGAGUUUUAUAUUAAAUUAAAUUAAAAUUAUUUAUAUAAUUAUUAAUAUAGAUUUAAUUUUAGUAUUUUGUUGGGGUGACAAAAAAAUAAAUAAAACUUUUUUUAUUAUUUACAUAAAUAAAUGAAUUUUUGAUCCAAUUUUAUUGAUUAAAAGAAAAAAUUACCUUAGGGAUAACAGCGUAAUUUUUUUUUUUAGUUCUUAUAAGAAAAAAAGUUUGCGACCUCGAUGUUGGAUUAAGAUAAAAUUUAAAUGCAAAAGUUUAAAAUUUUUGAUCUGGUCGAUCAUUAAAAUCUUACAUGAUCUGAGUUCAAACCGGUGUAAGCCAGGUUGGUUUCUAUCUUUUAAAAAUUUUAAUAUUUUAGUACGAAAGGAUUGAAUAUUAUAAUUAAAUUAAAAUAUUAGGAAUUUUAUUAAUUUUUUUUAUUCAAGUAAAAAAUUAAAAUGGAAAGGCUAUUUUGGCAGA
RNAcentral lists this ribosomal RNA (723 nucleotides) under Samia ricini (Indian eri silkmoth). RNAcentral describes it as "partial large subunit ribosomal RNA". The stretch from base 236 to 606 matches the Rfam family "Archaeal large subunit ribosomal RNA", at positions 2148 to 2718 of the family's 2987-position model. Lineage: Eukaryota; Metazoa; Arthropoda; Insecta; Lepidoptera; Saturniidae. The record is from RNAcentral.